Long non-coding RNA from Harmonia axyridis, 404 nucleotides. RefSeq lists it as uncharacterized. The transcript has 3 exons. The record is from RefSeq and is a predicted model, not a curated record. Lineage: Eukaryota; Metazoa; Arthropoda; Insecta; Coleoptera; Coccinellidae.
AAUCAAUGUUUAGGCAAAUGGUGCAACUGGCCCUUAGAAAUUUAAUUUUCGAUUCCUGUUUUUAGAUACAGACAUCGACUUAUUGUUAUUAAUUUCAAUAUAUAGAGAAAGAAAAUCAAAUCUUAUAUCUGUACUCACAUUAUUCAAAUUUUGUGGUGGCAAUAGUGCUUGAGCAAUAGAUAAAUUUAGAAUAGAUGCCAAUAAACCCAUAAAACUAUUACAUGCAGCGGCAAGUUCAUCUUGUUCGGCCAGAAGUUCCCAAACAACUGGUAUGAGAGAUGAGGCCGCAACUGCUCCAACAUCAUCCACUGGAUCUGACAAUCCAUUCAAAAUAUGAGGAAAUGAUUGUGGCAGUAAUAAAUUAUUUAUAUCUGAAACAAAAUAAUCAGCUCAAAAUACAAGCG